AGAGUUUGAUCCUGGCUCAGGACGAACGCUGGCGGCGUGCCUAACACAUGCAAGUCGAACGGAGUUAGUAGCAAUACUAACUUAGUGGCGGACGGGUGAGUAACGCGUGGGCAACCUGCCUUACAGAGGGGGAUAACAGUGCGAAAGCACUGCUAAUACCGCAUGACAUUGCGUCUUCGCAUGAAGAAGCAAUCAAAGGAGUAAUCCGCUGUAAGAUGGGCCCGCGUCUGAUUAGCUAGUUGGUGAGGUAAAAGCUCACCAAGGCGACGAUCAGUAGCCGAUCUGAGAGGAUGAACGGCCACACUGGAACUGAGACACGGUCCAGACUCCUACGGGAGGCAGCAGUGGGGAAUAUUGCACAAUGGGGGAAACCCUGAUGCAGCAACGCCGCGUGGAGGACGAAGGCCUUCGGGUUGUAAACUCCUGUCUUUUGGGACGAAUAAUGACGGUACCAAAGGAGGAAGCCACGGCUAACUACGUGCCAGCAGCCGCGGUAAUACGUAGGUGGCAAGCGUUGUCCGGAAUUAUUGGGCGUAAAGGGCGCGUAGGCGGCGUCUUAAGUCAGAUGUGAAAACCCCGGGCUUAACUUGGGAACUGCAUCUGAUACUGGGAUGCUAGAGUGCAGGAGAGGUAAGUGGAAUUCCUAGUGUAGCGGUGAAAUGCGUAGAUAUUAGGAGGAACACCAGUGGCGAAGGCGACUUACUGGACUGUAACUGACGCUGAGGCGCGAAAGCGUGGGGAGCAAACAGGAUUAGAUACCCUGGUAGUCCACGCUGUAAACGAUGGAUACUAGGUGUGGG
This 800-nucleotide ribosomal RNA is filed under the name uncultured bacterium. RNAcentral's name for it is "bacterial SSU rRNA". It matches the Rfam family "Bacterial small subunit ribosomal RNA", at positions 8 to 826 of the family's 1533-position model. The record is from RNAcentral.